GGAGACUCUGUGCGCGUGCAUAUCAAUAAGCGGAGGAAAAGAAACUAACUAGGAUUCCCUCAGUAACGGCGAGUGAAGCGGGAAGAGCUCAAAUUUGAAAUCUUCAAGGUUUACCUUGACGAAUUGUAGUUUAAAGAAGUGUUUUCUGUUGAAGUUUCGGUAAAAGUUCUUUGGAAUAGGACAUCAUAGAGGGUGAGAAUCCCGUAUUUGACCGUUACUUUCCAGCUGUGUGAUACACUUUCAAAGAGUCGGAUUGUUUGGGAAUGCAGUCCAAGAUGGGUGGUAAAUUUCAUCUAAAGCUAAAUAUUGGCGAGAGACCGAUAGCGAACAAGUACCGUGAGGGAAAGAUGAAAAGAACUUUGAAAAGAGAGUUAAACAGUACGUGAAAUUGUCAAAAGGGAAGCGUUUGACACCAGUGUUGUUUAGUUGAAAAUCAAUUCAAUAAUUUUUGAUUUUAAGUAGUAUUGACUUCAUCAGCUUGCUGCUUUCUUUUCAGGAAUUAUUGAAUGCACUUUUCAGUUAACAAGUCAACAUCAAUUUCUUUUGUUGUAAAAGGGUAAGAGGAAGGUGGCUUACGCUUCGGCGUAAGUGUUUAUAGCCUUUUACCUCUGCAAUCGGAGAGAUUGAGGACAGCAGCGUAGACUCCUUCGGGGGUUAGAUACACUUGUGCUAAGCUAUAGCCUUGUAUAGACAACUUGUUGACUAUGCUCAGUCAUGUAGCUUACUCGCUUGUGCUAUGUUACCUACGCUUAGGAUGUUGACAGCAGUAUAGACUGU
RNAcentral lists this ribosomal RNA (777 nucleotides) under uncultured Neocallimastigales. RNAcentral's name for it is "partial large subunit ribosomal RNA". It matches the Rfam family "Eukaryotic large subunit ribosomal RNA", at positions 23 to 638 of the family's 3401-position model. The record is from RNAcentral. Lineage: Eukaryota; Fungi; Neocallimastigomycota; Neocallimastigomycetes; Neocallimastigales.